GCGGCGGACGGGUGAGUAAUGCCUAGGAAUCUGCCUAGUAGUGGGGGAUAACUUGCCGAAAGGUAAGCUAAUACCGCAUACGUCCUACGGGAGAAAGCAGGGGACCUUCGGGCCUUGCGCUAUUAGAUGAGCCUAGGUCGGAUUAGUUAGUUGGUGAGGUAAUGGCUCACCAAGACCGCGAUCCGUAACUGGUCUGAGAGGAUGAUCAGUCACACUGGAACUGAGACACGGUCCAGACUCCUACGGGAGGCAGCAGUGGGGAAUAUUGGACAAUGGGGGGAACCCUGAUCCAGCCAUGCCGCGUGUGUGAAGAAGGUCUUAGGAUUGUAAAGCACUUUAAGUUGGGAGGAAGGGCAGUUAACUAAUAUUUGACUGUUUUGACGUUACCGACAGAAUAAGCACCGGCUAACUUCGUGCCAGCAGCCGCGGUAAUACGAAGGGUGCAAGCGUUAAUCGGAAUUACUGGGCGUAAAGCGCGCGUAGGUGGUUCGUUAAGUUAGGAGUGAAAGCCCCGG
RNAcentral lists this ribosomal RNA (515 nucleotides) under uncultured bacterium. RNAcentral describes it as "bacterial SSU rRNA". It matches the Rfam family "Bacterial small subunit ribosomal RNA", at positions 95 to 606 of the family's 1533-position model. The record is from RNAcentral.